GAUGAACGCUGGCGGCGUGCCUAAUACAUGCAAGUCGAGCGAACGGACGAGAAGCUUGCUUCUCUGAUGUUAGCGGCGGACGGGUGAGUAACACGUGGAUAACCUACCUAUAAGACUGGGAUAACUUCGGGAAACCGGAGCUAAUACCGGAUAAUAUUUUGAACCGCAUGGUUCAAAAGUGAAAGACGGUCUUGCUGUCACUUAUAGAUGGAUCCGCGCUGCAUUAGCUAGUUGGUAAGGUAACGGCUUACCAAGGCAACGAUGCAUAGCCGACCUGAGAGGGUGAUCGGCCACACUGGAACUGAGACACGGUCCAGACUCCUACGGGAGGCAGCAGUAGGGAAUCUUCCGCAAUGGGCGAAAGCCUGACGGAGCAACGCCGCGUGAGUGAUGAAGGUCUUCGGAUCGUAAAACUCUGUUAUUAGGGAAGAACAUAUGUGUAAGUAACUGUGCACAUCUUGACGGUACCUAAUCAGAAAGCCACGGCUAACUACGUGCCAGCAGCCGCGGUAAUACGUAGGUGGCAAGCGUUAUCCGGAAUUAUUGGGCGUAAAGCGCGCGUAGGCGGUUUUUUAAGUCUGAUGUGAAAGCCCACGGCUCAACCGUGGAGGGUCAUUGGAAACUGGAAAACUUGAGUGCAGAAGAGGAAAGUGGAAUUCCAUGUGUAGCGGUGAAAUGCGCAGAGAUAUGGAGGAACACCAGUGGCGAAGGCGACUUUCUGGUCUGUAACUGACGCUGAUGUGCGAAAGCGUGGGGAUCAAACAGGAUUAGAUACCCUGGUAGUCCACGCCGUAAACGAUGAGUGCUAAGUGUUAGGGGGUUUCCGCCCCUUAGUGCUGCAGCUAACGCAUUAAGCACUCCGCCUGGGGAGUACGACCGCAAGGUUGAAACUCAAAGGAAUUGACGGGGACCCGCACAAGCGGUGGAGUAUGUGGUUUAAUUCGAAGCAACGCGAAGAACCUUACCAAAUCUUGACAUCCUUUGACAACUCUAGAGAUAGAGCCUUCCCCUUCGGGGGACAAAGUGACAGGUGGUGCAUGGUUGUCGUCAGCUCGUGUCGUGAGAUGUUGGGUUAAGUCCCGCAACGAGCGCAACCCUUAAGCUUAGUUGCCAUCAUUAAGUUGGGCACUCUAAGUUGACUGCCGGUGACAAACCGGAGGAAGGUGGGGAUGACGUCAAAUCAUCAUGCCCCUUAUGAUUUGGGCUACACACGUGCUACAAUGGACAAUACAAGGGGCAGCGAAACCGCGAGGUCAAGCAAAUCCCAUAAAGUUGUUCUCAGUUCGGAUUGUAGUCUGCAACUCGACUACAUGAAGCUGGAAUCGCUAGUAAUCGUAGAUCAGCAUGCUACGGUGAAUACGUUCCCGGGUCU
RNAcentral lists this ribosomal RNA (1372 nucleotides) under uncultured bacterium. RNAcentral describes it as "bacterial SSU rRNA". It matches the Rfam family "Bacterial small subunit ribosomal RNA", at positions 28 to 1381 of the family's 1533-position model. The record is from RNAcentral.